CUGCAGUGCCCUAUCUGUCACCAACUGCAUUCCUCAGCGUGUAACCGAUUCGCAAUUAUGGUUAUCUUUGGUGUCGUGCUCCUGUUGGGUGUUGUAUCGUUGUUGGCUGGAUCGACUGCUGGUGCAGCGAUGUCUCCUUGGUAUGGCGGAAACCAAACCGCUACGCCGCCGCUUUCCUACACAACUAACGCAACAAUCAGUUCCUGCACCGAUGUCUUCCAGUACUACACCACCAAAGCACCAGAGUUUUAUACUACAACUUACGCUUCCCCGAGCCACUACACUGAUGCCCUGAAGUAUUACUCUGCCCUGAGUUACUACACCAUCUAGGCGACGGAGUACUACAUGAUUACGUAUACUGCCUAUCCUACUACACUGAGGUUUCUAACUGCUACACCGAGGCUCCCGAUGAUUUCUCCACCAAGACGGUCGAAUACUACACCG
Long non-coding RNA from Daphnia pulex (common water flea), 444 nucleotides. RefSeq lists it as uncharacterized. The record is from RefSeq and is a predicted model, not a curated record. NCBI's taxonomy places the organism in Eukaryota, Metazoa, Arthropoda, Branchiopoda, Diplostraca, Daphniidae. The transcript is spliced from 3 exons.